Molecule: non-coding RNA, 120 nt
Organism: Diplonema papillatum
Lineage: Eukaryota; Euglenozoa; Diplonemea; Diplonemida; Diplonemidae
Source: the annotation of a GenBank genome assembly
GUGUUGGAGCCCAGAAAUGGGACACCCGCUAAAAUUGGAUCGAUACAGAGAACAUUAGCAUGGUCCGUGCGCAAGGAUAACACGUAAACAGCGGCAGGCGCUUCGAUGCGGCUCAUUUAU